Molecule: long non-coding RNA, 251 nt
Filed under: Physcomitrium patens
Lineage: Eukaryota; Viridiplantae; Streptophyta; Bryopsida; Funariales; Funariaceae
Description: long non-coding RNA (PPAT_LNC014170)
Source: RNAcentral
UCCUUUCUUUGAUAAAGAUGUCAAAGAUUGAACAGUAGGCAUAGUCAAUCGUAUUGUAUGUACUGGAAUUUCAGGUGCUUGUAUUGCUUUUAGAAUAUUAUUCCUAUCCUUCCUCUUUUUUCUUUUUGUAAGCAAACCCAUCGCAUUUUCAACAUUUUCCUACUUUGUUGUCAAUCCUUCAUCUUUUUCUUUGUCUUUUAGAAGCAAUUCCAAUUUCCCUUGUAAUUCUCCAUCAGCAGCUUGAAGAAAUA